UAAAUUCAACCAAUGGACUGGAGUGGCAGUGCAAUAUAAGGAUAUACAACAAGUCUUGACCAAUAUACAAAAAAAAACACUAAAAGAAAUUCAGGAAAGAAGUGGUUGCAGCUUUAUGUGGUGCCAUAAUCUACCACACAUGGAGUGCCCGAAAUUAGAAGAGAUACAAAAGCAAAGCUGUAAAUAGAAAUGAUGUAAUUACAAUGAUUAAGGAGCAGCUUAUGGAGAGGAUUAAUUGUACAGAAAUUCAAAGAAAUUAAAGCUCAGAGAUGUAGGAACUGGAUUCAACACUUAGUUACCUAAUGUAGAUGUUAUUUUUGGUUGUUGUUGCUGCUUGUUAGAGGCCUAUUCCUAUGAUGGGAUGAUGUGCUCUUUAUUUGUACUGUGAUGAUUUUGUUAUAAUAAUAUUUCACAGUUAUUAUCGAAAAAAAAAGUCCUAAGGAAGAUGUUUGUGUUGUAUGUUAU
This 465-nucleotide long non-coding RNA is filed under the name Capsicum annuum. RNAcentral describes it as "long non-coding RNA (CANN_LNC013538)". The record is from RNAcentral. Lineage: Eukaryota; Viridiplantae; Streptophyta; Magnoliopsida; Solanales; Solanaceae.